CUUUCCGUGGCCUCUCGGGGCUCUGAUCCUCCCUUUCGAGAAGAUAAUUAGAAUUAGAUAAGGUCAUCGUGUUGCGGCCCUCAUGAUUGAACUGGUGGCUUUAUAAGAAGAAAAGAAAGGGGAAUGGCCAAGAUGGCUGAGUAGAAACAGCGCCUAUCUGCAGCUCCCACUGAGACGAACAAAAAGGAUUUUUUGGGAGGUAUCUUGCGUCUGUUGAGAGAUGGCUUCAGGAGGAAGCUAUAUAUGUAUAUGACUUUAAGGAAGAAAUUAGUUGGAAUGCAGGUAUCUAAAAUCUAC
RNAcentral lists this long non-coding RNA (297 nucleotides) under Homo sapiens (human). RNAcentral describes it as "non-protein coding lnc-NT5E-11:1". The record is from RNAcentral. Lineage: Eukaryota; Metazoa; Chordata; Mammalia; Primates; Hominidae.